This 586-nucleotide ribosomal RNA is filed under the name uncultured bacterium. RNAcentral's name for it is "partial 16S ribosomal RNA". It matches the Rfam family "Bacterial small subunit ribosomal RNA", at positions 355 to 1375 of the family's 1533-position model. The record is from RNAcentral.
UGGGGAAUUUUGGACAAUGGGCGAAAGCCUGAUCCAGCAAUGCCGCGUGUGUGAAGAAGGCCUUCGGGUUGUAAAGCACUUUUGUCCGGAAAGAAAUCCUUGGCUCUAAUACAGUCGGGGGAUGACGGUACCGGAAGAAUAAGCACCGGCUAACUACGUGCCAGCAGCCGCGGUAAUACGUAGGGUGCAAGCGUUAAUCGGAAUUACUGGGCGUAAAGCGUGCGCAGGCGGUUUGCUAAGACCGAUGUGAAAUCCCCGGGCUCAACCUGGGAACUGCAUUGGUGACUGGCAGGCUAGAGUAUGGCAGAGGGGGGUAGAAUUCCACGUGUAGCAGUGAAAUGCGUUGAGAUGUGGAGGAAUACCGAUGGCGAAGGCAGCCCCCGUGGGCCAAUACUGACGCUCAUGCACGAAAGCGUGGGGAGCAAACAGGAUUAGAUACCCUGGUAGUCCACGCCCUAAACGAUGUCAACUAGUUGUUGGGGAUUCAUUUCCUUAGUAACGUAGCUAACGCGUGAAGUUGACCGCCUGGGGAGUACGGUCGCAAGAUUAAAACUUAAAUGAAUUGACGGGGUCAUAGCUGUUUCCU